This 73-nucleotide transfer RNA is filed under the name Sibynophis chinensis (Chinese many-tooth snake). RNAcentral describes it as "tRNA-Leu". Lineage: Eukaryota; Metazoa; Chordata; Lepidosauria; Squamata; Sibynophiidae. The record is from RNAcentral.
UCUACCAAAGGAUAAUAGUCUUCCACUGGUCUUAGGCACCAAAACUCUUGGUGGCAAAAACCAAGUGGUAGAA